GGGGUCGACUGGUAUUGACAGCGAGAUCUACUAAACUGUAAGCACGUCGUGUGAUGAUAUUGAUACACGUAAAAGGCCAUAUCACCAUUUAAACGGCGAGAAUAACUACGCUUUAGCUGCUUAAUCCGAAUUAUAGUAGGAUGAGCCUAGUCCCGCAAGGCGGGAAAGCUAAAUGUCUCCUGAAAGCCUUGGUUCACGGCGUUCAAUUUUGAGACAUCGUAAAUGUCAACCUAGAUUCUCUAAGGCUUUGGUAGGGAUUCGAAAUUAAAAAAGCUAAGGAAUAAGUGGGCCGUUUUUAGUCAGUUUAUUUCCGACAAUUAAAUAAAAACUAAACGUGUAGAAAGCUUUUUAUUAGCUUGUUUGGACCCGAGUUCGAUUCUCGGCGACUCCACUU
Molecule: non-coding RNA, 394 nt
Organism: Formosa sp. Hel1_33_131
Lineage: Bacteria; Pseudomonadati; Bacteroidota; Flavobacteriia; Flavobacteriales; Flavobacteriaceae
Rfam family: transfer-messenger RNA
About the family: Bacterial tmRNA, also known as 10Sa RNA or SsrA, is named for its dual tRNA and mRNA-like properties. Its role is to liberate the mRNA from a stalled ribosome. To accomplish this part of the tmRNA is used as a reading frame that ends in a translation stop signal.
Source: Rfam